Molecule: RNA transcript, 1665 nt
Organism: Oncorhynchus gorbuscha (pink salmon)
Lineage: Eukaryota; Metazoa; Chordata; Actinopteri; Salmoniformes; Salmonidae
Gene name: serum paraoxonase/arylesterase 2-like
Exons: 10
Source: RefSeq, a predicted model, not a curated record
ACAACACACCCACAUUUUGCACACGGCUUUCAUAACCUUUGACCAAGGGAAAGAGUUUGUCUGCCAUGAAGUGGGUGCUUGUUACCAUCUGCAUUGCUGCAUUUGCAGCUCUUUUGGGGCAAAGACUUCUUAAAUUGAGUGAAAUAGCCCUUGCCAACAGAGAAGUGCCUGUAAAACGCCUCCCCAACUGUCACCUAUUAAAGAAUAUAGAAUAUGGAGCAGAGGACUUCACCAUACUUCGAGAUGGACUGGCCAUCAUAAGCACCGGCUUGAAAUAUCCUGGAAUGCCCUCCUUCUCUGAUGACCCAGGGAAGAUCUAUACCCUGGACCUGUUGGACCCCAGACUCAUCCCUGUGGAGCUGACAAUCAAAGGAGACCUGGACCAGGACUCCUUCAACCCCCAUGGAAUCAGUGUCUACAUUGACGAGACAGAUAAAACCAUCCAUCUGUUUGUUGUCAAUCACCCUCAACAUUACACGAGCCAGGUAGAGAUCUUUCUAUUUGUCGAAGAGGACAACACCAUUGUGCACCUGAAAACUAUAAAGCAUGAUCUCCUUCAUAGUGUGAAUGACAUUGUGGCUGUGGGAGUGGAGAGCUUCUAUGCCACCAACGAUCACUCCUAUCCCAGUGCAGUGCUACACAUGCUGGCUGUGAUCCUGGGUCUACCCUGGGCUGACGUGGUUUACUACAGCCCUGGAGGAGUGAAGGCAGUGGGCCAUGGCUUCCUAUCUGCAAACGGCAUCAACAUGUCACCCGACAAAAGGUAUCUAUACGUGUCUGCUAUUUUGGACCAUGAGAUUGCUGUUUUUGAGAUAAAGAAAAAUAAAGACUUGGUACAUGUCAAGUCUGUAGCCGUUGGGUCUCUCUGUGACAACAUCGAGGUGGACCAUGUAACAGGUGACAUUUGGCUGGGUUGUCACCCUAAUGGAGCAAAGGUAGCAGUAUAUGACCCUGAGGAUCUACCUGGAUCUGAGGUCAUUAGGAUUCAGGACAUCCACUAUGAGAAGCCAGUGGUGACUCAGGUCUAUGCUGAUGAUGGCAGUGUGCUCAUAGGAUCCUCUGUAGCAGCUCCCUAUGAAGGAAAGCUUCUCAUAGGAACAGUCUACCACAAAGCCCUGGUCUGUGAUCUGAAGUAGCCAAUAAUUCCUUCCAGACAUCUGAUUUCCAAAGUCUGUGUGUGUAUAUAUAGAUGCAGUAAUGACACUCAAACUGUAUUGUACUCAAAGUCUAUGUGUGUAUAUAUAGAUGCAGUAAUGACACUCAAACUGUAUUGUAGUCAAAGUCUGUGUGUGUAUAUAUAGAUGCAGUAAUGACACUCAAACUGUAUUGUAGUCAAAGUCUGUGUGUGUAUAUAUAGAUGCAGUAAUGACACUCAAACUGUAUUGUACUCAAAGUCUGUGCUGUUUCUGUAUAGCACAUCUUGUCUGGUGUAAUAUGAUUGAAAAGUAUAAAUAUUCCGCAUGGUUGCCACAAUAUAACACUGUAAUUACAAUUGUAAUUAUGUUAAAUGAUAAGAGGCCGUCUGGGCUCUUUUAAGUUCCUUAGUACUCAAUAGUGUCUGUUCCAGGUGCGUAGGAGUCAAAAUAAGAAUACUGGAAAAGAUGAGAGACCUGCACACUGUCGAAAAUGGUGGACUAUUUGUAUUGAUUAAACAGUUAUAUUUCA